Molecule: long non-coding RNA, 248 nt
Filed under: Mytilus galloprovincialis (Mediterranean mussel)
Lineage: Eukaryota; Metazoa; Mollusca; Bivalvia; Mytilida; Mytilidae
Source: RNAcentral
AGGGACUGUAGUAUAUAAAUAACUGCAAUAUUGGAAAUCUAUGACCACAAUUUUUUUUCGCAUCAAUUGAGGGUGCCAGCAUUUCCUAUUUUUAUUCAAAAUAUCGCAUCAGAAACAAAUAUCAGUAGUUUUCAUACCUCAGACUGACUCAUGUAACAAAAUUAUUUGUCUGCAUCAAUCAAAACUGACCAUAUUUGACAGCAUCAACCAAAACUGACCAUAUUUGACCACAUCAACAAAAACUGACC